AACUUAUGACCACGUGAACCCAAGCCACUACCUUGCGUAGUGUGUCUUGGUGUGCUCAGGUCAUCCUUCUGGAGAGCACUUCUACCCUUGAUUGGGUUGGUCGUGUGAUCCAGAUCAUUUACUGUGAGAAAAACAAAGUGCUCAAAGCAGGCUUUACAGCUUGAAUGCGUUAGCAUGGAAUAAUAAGAUAGGACUUUGUUUCUAUUUUGUUGGCUCUGAGGAACAAAGUAAUGAUUGAUAGGGAUAGUUGGGGGUGCUCGUAUUUAACGGUCAGCGGUGAAAUGCAUGGACCCGUUAAAGACGAACCUAUGCGAAAGCAUU
Molecule: ribosomal RNA, 321 nt
Filed under: uncultured Leptophryidae
Lineage: Eukaryota; Endomyxa; Vampyrellida; Leptophryidae
Description: SSU rRNA
Rfam family: Eukaryotic small subunit ribosomal RNA (bases 101-321)
Source: RNAcentral